RNAcentral lists this long non-coding RNA (927 nucleotides) under Vulpes vulpes (red fox). RNAcentral describes it as "lncRNA (ENSVVUG00000010188.1)". The record is from RNAcentral. Lineage: Eukaryota; Metazoa; Chordata; Mammalia; Carnivora; Canidae.
GGAAAUCAAUAAUGAACUUGGACCUGCCUGGGCUGACUCAUCAGAGGCAACAGCAGGGUGGGGUCCCAGGAGGCUGCAGAGAGCAAAAGCACAACUCCAAAUUUCUCAGGAGGCCCCAGGAAAUUAGUGGUCAGUGCCAGGAAAUAAUAGCAUCAGUCCGUAUCUAUAGGAGGGCACAGUCCUUGGCAGAUAUAUGUACGUACAUUCCACCUGCACGUUAACGGCAGCCUAAAUCAAGGCUCAUCUGUUUAAAUUAAGCCACACGGAAACACAUAGGUAGGAUACAGCGCACCAGUCAUUGUUGGUAUAUUUAUAUAAUUAGAGUGAUGACAAAUAUGAACAAGUCCUUUAUCAGAACUCACGGGGCUAUUAUUAUUAUUGUUAGGGUCCCUGAGAACAGUUACCUAUAAUUGAUCACAUCGCAUAUGCCAGAUGCUAGUGCUAAGUAUUUGACAUAAUAUGCUCAUUUAACCCUCAGAACAUCCUGAUGAUGUAAGUUUGUUCUCAUUUGACAGGUAUGGAAACUGAAGUGCAAGGAGAUUUAAAUAGAUGGUCCAAACUCACAUCACUAGGGUGCGGGGAAGGAAGGAUGACCCAGAUCUGCCGACUGCUGAGCGAUCCCAGUGCCAGCAGCCAGGUCACGGUGGAGUCCGGACCAGCCCCUUCAUCUCCUCUAGACUUGGGCUUUUCCUCUGUGUUGUCAGAGGCUGCCAUCAGCUCCGAUAAAGGGAACAUGAUUUCCACAGAGCAGAGAGACUUGCAGGGCCAGGCGAAGGUAUACCCCUGAGCUGGUGUUGCAGAAAAUGUAAAAGAAGUUCAAUCUUCCUUCUUCCUGCAUAAAAUACUUACUAAACACAUAUUGAGCACAGGCAAGUGAAAGAGAGGAGGCCUCCGGCACAAAAUAAAUGAGAAGCUCAUCCCUGCCCA